CUUUCCAUGAUAAUAUCUUUCACACCGCUGUGUUCUCUGAUCAUUUCAUUUGGAAUACGAUCCAGAAGGGAAAUUCCCAACAUAGCUCACUCCAUUGCCCUUUCAGCUACCAAUAGUUGCUGCUCUUCUCUCUUAGUCAGUGCCCACGUUUCGCUGCCAUACAACAUGGCUGGCAGCACUGUUGAAUUGAAGAUAUUUGUAUGUGUGGUCUUAUUGAUUUUUCCUUUGAGGAUGUCCU
RNAcentral lists this microRNA precursor (238 nucleotides) under Pelodiscus sinensis (Chinese soft-shelled turtle). RNAcentral describes it as "miRNA (ENSPSIG00000019655.1)". The record is from RNAcentral. Lineage: Eukaryota; Metazoa; Chordata; Testudines; Trionychidae.